RNAcentral lists this ribosomal RNA (459 nucleotides) under uncultured bacterium. RNAcentral describes it as "partial 16S ribosomal RNA". It matches the Rfam family "Bacterial small subunit ribosomal RNA", at positions 338 to 795 of the family's 1533-position model. The record is from RNAcentral.
CCUACGGGAGGCAGCAGUGAGGAAUAUUGGUCAAUGGACGAGAGUCUGAACCAGCCAAGUAGCGUGAAGGAUGACUGCCCUAUGGGUUGUAAACUUCUUUUAUAUGGGAAUAAAAUGUUCACGGGUGGGAUUUUGUAUGUACCAUAUUAAUAAGGAUUGGCUAACUCCGUUCCAGCAGCCGCGGUAAUACGGAGGAACCGAGCGUUAUCCGGAUUUAUUGGGUUUAAAGGGAGCGUAGGUGGAUUGUUAAGUUAGUUGUGAAAGUUUUGGGCUCAACCGUAAAAUUGCAGUUGAAACUGGCAGUCUUGAGUACAGUAGAGGUGGGCGGAAUUCGUGGUGUAGCGGUGAAAUGCUUAGAUAUCACGAAGAACUCCGAUUGCGAAGGCAGUUCACUGGACUGCAACUGACACUGAGGCUCGAAAGUGUGGGUAUCAAACAGGAUUAGAUACCCCAGUAGUC